AAGAAAAGGAAAUAGGGCGGACGAGCCUUCCUAAGUCUUUCAAUCAUUACUUAUAUGUACCUAUAUAAGCACAGACAUACAUCUAACUACGACUGAGUGUGUAUCAAGUAGAAGUGAUUCUUGUGAAGUAGGAGUGUCUAACAAGUGAAGUAGGAGCGGUCGCAAGUGAAGUAGGAGUGUCGAACAAGUAUAAGCGUAUCACGAAGUAGAGACGACAAUAAGUGAAGUAAGAGCGUCUAUCAGGUAUAAGCGACUACAAGUAUAAGUGAAAUAGAGACAAUAACAGGUAUAAGCGCUUCAAGAAGUGAAAGCGUUACCAAGUAGGAGUAUAAAAUAAGUAUAAGCGAAGCAGCAGUAACUAACAAGUAAAAGUAUACGUUGUGAAAGAGAACUUUGAUUAAAAUCUUGUAAAACCUUUAUAAACCAGUUUAAAGUGAGUUUUAAAUAAAGCAGUAUAAAUAAGAGUCUUGAAACAAACGAAAAACCUUUUUGAAAACCAUUAUAGUGUCCUACUCGGUAAAACAGUAUACAGUGUGGUAAAAUCUUGUGCAUGCGGGUUAUCAAUCACAUGUGAUUGAUAUGAUAACUGGCAUGUUUAACUUGUAUUCCCCCGUAUAAAACAUGUAAAAACAUUUAAAAGGUUCAUUCAGGGGUAUGAACUCACCUGGUGUAAGUAGGUCCGACGAAGGUGUCGUUUGGGCGUUUGGGGUCACGCAAGGACUUGAACACACACAAUGACCUAUUUAACAUAUGAUAACAUAUGUUCACAUACAAUUAGUAUAUUUAAUACUAAUUAAACAAAUAUAUGCGCUCAAAGGAGCGGAGAACACUUUGGAUAAGUGUUUGGGUGUCCCGGGUAGCGUCUAAAGGUGUGUAUGGCUUAGGAAUGGAGUUUACUCUCCGAGAGUAAACCCCUUUAUAUGAUUUUUACGGCCCAGGGACUACUCACCAUGAGUUUACGGCCAUAAACUCAUGGUGAGGGUAUCUAGUGUGUUUCAAAGCUUAAUAUUGUUAGUAGGAUUUUUCUAAGUCCAAUUCCAAAAAGGCAUGAGUGGGUUUAAGGCUCCUAAGGGCUUCUUUAGGGAGUUUACGGCCUAGGGACAACUCCUAAGGGAGUUUAUGGCCGUAAACUCCUAUGCCUUGAGUUUUUUGAAGUUUCAANACGACCGUAAGCUCUAUGGCUUGGCCAUGAACUCUCAUACACCCACAACUCUUGGAGUUUAAGCCCUUAAAUCAUUCCUAGCAUUUUAUAAAAAUAGACUAAGGCCAUUUGGGGGGCAAAAACCACAUUUUUGGCACAUUUAGGGGCGUUUACGGCCUUGUUACAUACCUGGGCCGUAAACUCCUUUUUCCCCUUCAUUUUAUUGUGUUUAAAUGGUCUAAACCCAAAAUAACAAGUCCCUAAAUUAUGUAUGAAGCCUAAGGGUGGUUUGGGAGUGUUUUGGGGCAUUUUAGCAUGGAUUAGAGGUGUUUACGGCCUAAGCAUGUGCUUGGUUCCGUAAAAUCUCUUUUAUGCCCUAGAAUCUUGUGAUUUAAUGUUUAAACACUCCUAGGCAAAUCCCUUAAUUUAUUUCCAAGCCUUUAGGGACAUUUUGGGUCAUUUUGGCCUCAUUUUAGGUGUUUACGGCCUAAGGAUGAUCUUAGGCUGUGAACUCCUCUUCAACAGCUUAAAUGGUCCAAUUCUAAGCUAUAAACAUGAAUCAUAAUGUUUAGAGUAAGCUAGGGNNNNNNNNNNNNNNNNNNNNNNNNNNNNNNNNNNNNNNNNNNNNNNNNNNNNNNNNNNNNNNNNNNNNNNNNNNNNNNNNNNNNNNNNNNNNNNNNNNNNUUGGACCAUGUCUCCAUGAGAAUCCUCAUAUGGUCCUAAGCUCUCACAAGGGUAGAGCUUUUCAGCACUUAGAACAUAGUGUACUUCUAUGGCAAGACCCUUACUGGUGUGAUCGCCAUUCGAACUUCCUAACGUUCUCACCCGUACUGUGUGUGUAGUCCUUCAGGUUGGUUCUUAGAAUGCUCGUGUGGUCUUUGGUCUCGCGUUUCCUGUCAACUGGCUGAUAGAGGCUUUCUAGAUCGUCGAGUGGGUUGCGUGAAUAUGGUUAUCGGCUUGCUGUAGAGUGUCUAUCUCAAGCUUGUGCAAAAUGGACCUGCACCAACGAAUCUUGAGACACGGAAACCCUGAGGGUCGGGGAGAUAGGGUUUCACCAGACGAGUGUUGGACUAUCUCAGGAGGUGGUUCUACUAUCUUUGCGUGAGAUAGUAUUCGUGGAACACCUAAUAGUCCAAGGAUUUUCCAAGACUUUGGUUUACUCUAGUGCGGAAAGCGCAUGUUCCUGCAUAACCCUUCGACUAACACCAGGGCUGGUGUCAAGCCUAUGAUCUCUUCGGGAUCCGGGUCAUGAGGCUUAACGCAACUACUUUCGCACUUGANCUUGGCUGCGAAGGUUCUCCUGUGGGUUCUCGGUAUCCUAGUGUUCACUUCGGAGAGUGUAUUUCAUCGUCUACAGGACGACAACGAUUUCCUCCAUGCGAGAGGGUCGAGGAUGAUAGGCACUACUUGUCUAUAACAGGGUGGACAAGGUGCCUGAGUAGUGCGAGCAUCUACUGCAACUAAUCUUCCGAAGGUUCUGAGUUUCCUCGGUCUAGGUCAUCUCUAGUGAGUAUAGGGUCUCAUCACUCAGAACUUUACUGGCUCAACUCGCAGUGAUUCUCUUGACUUCGACUCCUAUGUUAUGGAAUAGGGUGAAAGUGUUUUGCGAAGAGGUCCGUGGUAGAGCUCAUGCUUGGCGUAACCGCCAAUAUUUGAUGUAUGCCAGCAGUAUACCUGGUUAUAGUGGUCAGCCUCAUGAGUUCUAUUCUCUGGGUUCACGAACCUGAUGUGCGAGGUGCGAAGGGUCUCCCAGGGGAAUCUACGGAGUAUGCUUCGGUUGGUGGUCAUCUUCUUAGAGUAUCUGUAGUGUCGUUCACUUCGGUGUCCAUCUGACUACGAGGGGUCGGUCAGCAGUGCGGGGUACCCUCUCUUGGGUACUUCGGAAGGUUUGAGAUAAGAGGGACGAUUGACGGAUCACAUUAUGUUUGAUUAUUUGAGUUAGGUUUAGGUUCGGAAGAACCUUUAUUCGUCGACAAGGCUACGGAGAAAGUUCUUUUUACACAGCACUAAGAAUGUACACAUGGUUGCACGAAGUCGAACCAUGAUCAAUAGAGUCGUCGAAGUUGGCACACUCCGACAUUAUAUAUAAUGAAGAUCGAUAGAGUCAUAUGCCAAACAGGCACACAAGUUCUAGGCGUCUCGGGUUUCGUCCUAUGUAUCACUACCGCGGAUACUUGGACCGAUAGAGUCGACGCGGAACUAUAGAGAGUCCUAAGUGUUUCCGAAUUGAGUACCUUUUCAUGAGUGGAUUCUCACAAGGUAUUUCUAUAAUUGCCUCACAUAUACUAGUCAUGUAUAUUUAAUGUGGGGAGGACUGUUGACUGAGCGACCCCGCCCUAAAUCCAUAACCAAACGAGGAACGGGAAAUGAGGCGGCAUUCGCUCACUCUAGGUCUGUCCAUCUUAACUAUACAUGGUCGUGACGUAUAUGUUUAGCCAUUAUAGUUUUACCUAAUGAAUUUUUAAAUUUUAAAAUAGUGCUGCGACUUUCGCCUUAUUGGGGAAAUAUUUACAUUUGAAUUAGCCUUUUAUUGUUUUCAGUUUAGUUAUCCGAGAUCUAGAGACGUACCAAAAUCUACCGAGUUCUUGAUGCUUCUCCCUAAGCAUUAGAGUCAGGCUCGUCCUGUAUCCUUGUUGUUUCCUUCAGUUGGGCAAUCCCUUUUGAAGUGUCCAAUCACACCACAUAGACGGAAAACUGGAUUGGUCAUCACUUUGGUGAUUGAUGCAAUACGCUCCACCGGAGUUCUGCAUACACGAGCAGUAUACCCCUUCAUGUUGCACCUAGCACAAUAGAGUUCCCGGCAGACACCAUGAUGAUGGCAGCUGCACUUGCUGCAGUGGGGAAGGUCUCCUAGGUAUGGUCUUCUUGAGGUCGGGAGGGAAGGAUUGACAGGGGUAUAGACUGCCUCAGCUCGUCGCCUUUCAGAAGGUCCUUGAGCCGAGGUACUUCCCUCCUCAAUCUUGAGUUUUCUCUUUAGUGGGUUCGGUGAAGAUUCUUGGGUGACUGGGUAUGAAAGUGUUGGUUGCUGCUGUCCAUUGCUAGGAUUGGAAAUCCCGACAGGGCCCUUGCUAAUAUUGGCGGUGUUAGCAUUCAGGUGAGCCAUGACAGCUGCUACGGCUGCUGAGACUGCAGCUUGGAACGUAGCUUCAUCGAAUAAGAGAGCAGGUUUCUUGCUUGUGGAUUGGUUACGCUUCUUCGGUGGCAUGGUUUUUCCUACACGGAAAGGAAUACAAGGUAAUGAGAGACGAUGGUUAACCCUGGACAUUUCUGUCCUCAACGUAUUAGGCAUAAAUUUUUCCCGUGCCUCGGGUACUGGUUGUCUGAGUGUCGACCUACAUCCCUAUGAUGUAGUCCUGGUAAUCAAGGUAAGAGUAUGAGUAUCGGAAAAAGGCCAUAAGAUGCCAGUCGUUCCUACUAAGUUACCUUUAUACUGGGAAAGGUUUCACUCUCCGGCCUGGAGAGAUUUGAGAACGGUUCGGAACGAAACUGCAGAAAGAGAGGCUCACAAGGGCAAAUGACUAAAUUCUAUCAAUAGAGAUGUGGGGAUCCGCCCUAAUCGUGUAUCUGGCAACGGGAAACGACGAUUUACCUAACACAUAGCGUGAGUAGUGUAACCACUAACUCACUAAAUUGUAUUAUUUUAUGGGUGUAUUAGCGUGACGAACACGAGGAAAAGACAAUUCCCGGGUUCCAUGUACUGGCUCCCUCGGUCUGCCUCGUAUCUUUGACUGGAAUCGGCGUUGGUUUCCUUCGGGUAGUUUCCUAGGGUUCUCUUCUUGUAUGGACAUAUUGAAUUUCUACUCCGCCUUCCUUCUGAUUCCAACUCUGGGUGUCAUCACUUCAUGAUGGAUGACUGGGAAUCUCCGAAGUUUAGGCGAAUUUCUCACCAAUGUCCCUAAAAGAAUAUGGGCACUUGGUGCAUUCAAUAGUCUCGACCCAGUUCAUUUAUUUCCGAACAGGAAAUCUUCUCAAUGAACCUCCUCGGGGUCGGAAUCAACUCUUCUGUCAAGCACUGAAGUGGGUAGGGUUUUCUACAGGGUUCGUGCGAGAAUGGAAAUGUCUAAAGAAUCCUAAGAGAUUAUUAACAUUUCACUGUAUGAUCCAUAUCGAGUCCUGCUACGAUUACACAGGGUAUACAAAUCAUAUAUAACUUAGAUCCGAUAGGCCUUCGAAUAUGUGAUACUACUCUAGAACCACAUCCCAACGAGGAAAAGGAAAUAGAGCGAAACCACACAUUCUUAGCCUAUGGGAUCCUUAUUAUAUAUAACCUUGGGAGUAUACCCUCUGUAGUUGUAGGUAUAUCAAUAAGGAUCUUUUUAGUUAUUCACGCAAGGUUGUUUAUGGAUUCUAAAAUACCCCUAUGGUAUUUUAAUUCUUGUUUGAUUCUUAUCUUCUGAAUAUGAUUCUGGGAUUAGUGUGGAUCUUUUAGUGUUCUAAAAUACUCCUAUAGUAUUUUAACUUUAUGUUUGGCUCUAGCAUUCCUAGUUGGUAAGUUUCAGACCUGUUGUACACCACUAUCACUCCCAAGCACACGUUCAUCGCAUCUCGGAUAAAUGUAGUUGAUCAGGUUACAUUUAUCCCAGCUUACGAUUACAUAACUGCCCAGGUUUGACUGUAGUGCUCAACAUCCGAAGACUUUUAUUAUUGUUCUUCUUGUGAUAGUUUUGUUCGAGUGUUUAGAUUCUGGAUGUUCUUAUACUUUGGUAAAAUAUGGUUAUAUUCUAAAGUAUAAUUCUUGGUCAGAGUGUUUUAUCCCUUUGUGUUUAUAGGUUGUAUAUCUUUUAUGAAUUGAUAUACUUAGCUCACUAUAAACAAUGCUCUGAUACCAAUCUGUCACACCCCAAAACCGGAACGGCGGAAACGUUCUGGGGUGGAUGACGUCAUGUCAAGUAUCACAACACAUGCAUUAUAGUAAUCAAAGUACAACAAAACAUUGCAUUAAUAUUAAUAGUUUUACAUGGUUACAUUACAAUACACCAAAGUAAUACAAGUAAUACAGACAGAUAUAUAUAAGUGCAGCGAGGCACUAAGCCAUCUUCAUAUACAGCUCCGAGAUGUACCUGUCUAAUGCUAACCUGAGAAUACAAGUUAUUUGAAAAGCGAGUAUCAGCAUUUUUACAAAUGCUGGUGAGUUCAUAAGUAUUUAGUGACAUUUAUUCAAAUAACUUUAUAAAGUAGUAGUUUAAGUGUUUACUGUGUAUUAGAGUUCUUUCCAGAAAAUCCUAUAUUUUCUUUAAUAACGCAGCCUUCUACCACGGUUGGUCAGUGUUAUGUGGUAAAAAGUAGUUUUCCCUAAGUUGCUAUCAUUAUCAAAAUACUGAAUUUAAUUAUUGAGGAAACCAAACGACACCAGGGAAUAUCAUAUGCCUCAGCAGUAAGGACUGUUGACUAAGGCAAGGAACCAUAGACUCUAGGAAAGUAUCAAACGAACAACACGCCUGGUUCAGUCUAACAAGUGGAGAAACAGACCCCAGAAGGUACCAAAUGAAAGGUACAACUAGUAAGAUCUAAAACAGUGAAUACAGACCGCAGACAAUAUCAAAUGAAAGAUACGUCUAGCGAGGUCUAAAACAGUGAACACAGUGGAUUCUAUGAAUACAGUGGAUACAGACCCCACACAGCAUCAAAUGAAAGAUACGUCUUGUAAGGUCAAAACAGAGGAGACAAACCCCAGACAGUAUCAAAUGAAAGAUACGUCUUGUAAGGUCAAAACAGUGUGACUCUGAAAAUGAGUUACCAACAUACAGUGUAAAUAGCUGGCGAAAUACCGUUGCCUUAAGGCCAAAGAAUUAUAAGGUAACCCGGGAUACUUGUAACCAUACUGACUAGAGUACCAGACACCCUACAAGCGUCUAAAAUAUGCGACAUUUGUCACCCGUUGGCUUAGUAGGCCGGGACUGUAGCUAGCAGUCUGGGUGCGGGGUUGUCAAUCCCGUAUAGAUCUAUACACACAAUGUCCUCUCUCCCUACAGGAGAUUCUGGUUACCAACUAGACGACGGAGAAGGCCGUGUCCUGAAGAUGCAUCCCAAAUAGUGGGUAGUGUGUAAGUGUUGAACUAGAGGUAGAGACUUCCCAAUAGUGGGUUUCUAAUGUAAGUGUAGACUAGAGGUAGAGACUCUUAACUGAACUGACUAGAGAAUUCCUAUAUGUCCAUACUCAUAUACAUAAUAUAUAACUAAUGAGUCAAACGACCUUCGGACGGCCAUCUGAUCCCACCAGACCACAUCUCAACGAAGAAAAGGAAAUAGGGCAGACGAGCCUUCAUAAGUCUUUCAAUCAUUACUUAUAUGUACCUAUAUAAGCACAGGCAUACAUCUAACUACGACUGAGUGUGUAUCAAGUAAAAGUGAUCUUUGUGAAGUAGGAGUGUCUAACAAGUGAAGUAGGAGUGAUCCCAAGUGAAGUAAGAGUGUCGAACAAGUAUAAGCGUAUCACGAAGUAGAGACGACAAUAAGUGAAGUAAGAGCGUAUCGAGUAUAAGUGAAGUAGAGUCGAUAUCAAGUAUAAGGGAACUAGAAUCGUAUCACUAAGUAAGAGUAUGAAUAGGUAUAAGCGUCCAUCAGGCAUAAGCGACUACAAGUACAAGUGAAAGCGUUACAGAGUAGGAGUAUAAAAUAAGUAUAAGCGAAGCAGCAGUAUUUAACAAGUAAAAGUAUACAUCCAAAAAAGGGAAACUUUGAUGAAAAACCUUUAUAUCCGGAGAAAAUCACAAUUUGUAUUCUUUUGUAAAAUAUGUUUGAAAACCUUAGAAGAUCUUUCAUAAACCAGUUUAGAAUGAAUUUAGAUAAAAC
Molecule: long non-coding RNA, 7933 nt
Filed under: Lactuca sativa (garden lettuce)
Lineage: Eukaryota; Viridiplantae; Streptophyta; Magnoliopsida; Asterales; Asteraceae
Description: long non-coding RNA (LSAT_LNC009507)
Source: RNAcentral